Molecule: long non-coding RNA, 1261 nt
Filed under: Canis lupus familiaris (dog)
Lineage: Eukaryota; Metazoa; Chordata; Mammalia; Carnivora; Canidae
Description: lncRNA (ENSCAFG00030019032.1)
Source: RNAcentral
AUGAGCCAAGCUAGGAGUCAGGUGCCCUGGGCCUGCACCCACACUGGGCUGAGAGAUCACAGCCAGAGCAGAGGCAGACCCCGGGCAGCUUCCUCAACGGCAGGAGAGAACAAGGAAGGCAGAGCAGGGCUGAGGCACCAAAGGACAGCGCACUUGAGGACCUGCUGCCCCUGCUCAGGUCCCAGUAUCUGGGCUCCUAUCUUUGGAAGAAAAUGAAGGAAGAUGACAGCAGGGUCAGAUAUGUGCUUUGGGAAGAUGGUUCUGGAAGCUAUGUGGAAAACAGAUUGGAAGUGUGUAUAAGCUCAGGCAGUUGGAGGCUGCUACAGGAAACAGAGAAGAGAGAUGGCGUGGUCGUUCUCCAAUGAACCAUGCCUUCCUGUGUUCACACCUGUCACAUGACAUUGCCACUCCUCCUAUGAAGAGAUUUUUAUCCUUUGCACCUUUGAAUUGGACCUAGCCUUGGGACAGGGUUUCAUCAGUACAAUGCAGCAGCCCUAAUGUGACCUUCAAGCCUUAAGAGGCCAUGCAGCUUCCUGUUCUCCCUCUCAGAACUCGGAGAGCACCGUGCUGCACAGAAGUCAGGCAAGCCUACUGGAUGAUGAGAGACAAGGUGGGAAACUGAGGCACCCCACUCAGAUAGCCAUUCCAGCAACUCCCUGACUGCAACUGUGUGAGUGAACCCAGUUCACUGAGACCAGCCCAAGAACCACCUGUCAGAAUAAGAGAUGAGUGUUGUUUAAAGUCACUAAGUUUUGGGUAGGUGUGUGAAGGUACUGGAAAUAGUGCAGAUAACAGAAAUAGUGCAUGCUCUGCACUCGGGUGUUAGUGGCAUUCAUUCAUUGAGCAAAGAUUUUUGAGCACCUGUUUCAGGGUAGGCUCUACUGUAGGCACUAGAACACUGCAAGUGAACCAAACAAACACAUGGAGCCUGUAUUUAGUGGGGGUGGACUGGAGAGGGGGCAAGUUUGGGAAAUGUUUAGGGCCUCGUGAAUGAAAAUAGAGAGCACAGGAGAGGGCAGUACAGGAUGGCUUCUCAGGCUUCCAGUGUGGGUGGUGAGGGCAACGUUGGGCCAUCGAGAAGGAGCAAAGCAGACUAGGGGUUGUCCAGUUUGGGACACAUGGGCACCUAUGGAACAAAGAGAUGGCAGAUGUGAGGAGGUGUCUGAAGCUCAGGAGAGCUGUUGAGAUCAAUAUUUUGGCGUCGUUUUGUCCUGCACAAUUUAGCAGGUAUUUAUUGAGUGACAAUCAUAUGUCAAUCAUC